ACGGAAGGCAGCAGUGGGGAAUAUUGCACAAUGGGGGAAACCCUGAUGCAGCGACGCCGCGUGAGUGAAGAAGUUAUUCGUAAUGUAAAGCUCUAUCAGCAGGGAAGAAAAUGACGGUACCUGACUAAGAAGCCCCGGCUAACUACGUGCCAGCAGCCGCGGUAAUACGUAGGGGGCAAGCGUUAUCCGGAUUUACUGGGUGUAAAGGGAGCGUAGACGGUCUGGCAAGUCUGAUGUGAAAGGCAGGGGCUCAACUCCUGGACUGCAUUGGAAACUGUCAGUCUCGAGUGUCGGAGAGGUAAGCGGAAUUCCUAGUGUAGCGGUGAAAUGCGCAGAUAUUAGGAGGAACACCAGUGGUGAAGGCGGCUUACUGGACGAUAACUGACGUUGAGGCUCGAAAGCGUGGGGAGCAAACAGGAUUAGAUACCCUGGUA
This 434-nucleotide ribosomal RNA is filed under the name uncultured Lachnospiraceae bacterium. RNAcentral's name for it is "bacterial SSU rRNA". It matches the Rfam family "Bacterial small subunit ribosomal RNA", at positions 341 to 792 of the family's 1533-position model. Lineage: Bacteria; Bacillati; Bacillota; Clostridia; Lachnospirales; Lachnospiraceae. The record is from RNAcentral.